RNAcentral lists this unclassified non-coding RNA (202 nucleotides) under Hevea brasiliensis (rubber tree). Lineage: Eukaryota; Viridiplantae; Streptophyta; Magnoliopsida; Malpighiales; Euphorbiaceae. The record is from RNAcentral.
CCCUAACAUAAUGAUUUAGACUUUCCAUAACUAAUGCAACUCCAACAACUUCACCGCCUUUAUAGUCUCACACCUACUCCAUCUUUGUUCUUCCUUGACUUCUAUAUAAAGAGCAAGGUGCACAGCCACUUGCAUGCUCAUCUAAAGAUCUUUCAUUCUCCAGGUGUUGCGGAUCCUCAAGAACCUCUAAUACAGAAAUCAC